GCUUGCUUGUUGGGGUUGUAGGACACUCUAUACGGAGUUACAAAGGACGACAUUAGACGAAUCAUCUGGAAAGAUGAAUCAAAGAAGGUAAUAAUCCUGUAGUCGAAAAUGUUGUCUCUCUUGAGUGGAUCCUGAGUACGACGGAGCACGUGAAAUUCCGUCGGAAUCUGGGAGGACCAUCUCCUAAGGCUAAAUACUCUCUAGUGACCGAUAGUGAACCAGUACCGUGAGGGAAAGGUGAAAAGCACCCCGGAAGGGGAGUGAAAUAGAACCUGAAACCGUGUGCUUACAAGUAGUCAGAGCCCGUUAAUGGGUGAUGGCGUGCCUUUUGUAGAAUGAACCGGCGAGUUACGAUUUGAUGCAAGGUUAAGCAGUAAAUGUGGAGCCGUAGCGAAAGCGAGUCUGAAUAGGGCGUUUAGUAUUUGGUCGUAGACCCGAAACCAGGUGAUCUACCCUUGGUCAGGUUGAAGUUCAGGUAACACUGAAUGGAGGACCGAACCGACUUACGUUGAAAAGUGAGCGGAUGAACUGAGGGUAGCGGAGAAAUUCCAAUCGAACCUGGAGAUAGCUGGUUCUCUCCGAAAUAGCUUUAGGGCUAGCCUCAAGUGAUGAUUAUUGGAGGUAGAGCACUGUUUGGACGAGGGGCCCCUCUCGGGUUACCGAAUUCAGACAAACUCCGAAUGCCAAUUAAUUUAACUUGGGAGUCAGAACAUGGGUGAUAAGGUCCGUGUUCGAAAGGGAAACAGCCCAGACCACCAGCUAAGGUCCCAAAAUAUAUGUUAAGUGGAAAAGGAUGUGGCGUUGCCCAGACAACUAGGAUGUUGGCUUAGAAGCAGCCAUCAUUUAAAGAGUGCGUAAUAGCUCACUAGUCGAGUGACACUGCGCCGAAAAUGUACCGGGGCUAAACAUAUUACCGAAGCUGUGGAUUGUCCUUUGGACAAUGGUAGGAGAGCGUUCUAAGGGCGUUGAAGCAUGAUCGUAAGGACAUGUGGAGCGCUUAGAAGUGAGAAUGCCGGUGUGAGUAGCGAAAGACGG
RNAcentral lists this ribosomal RNA (1035 nucleotides) under Staphylococcus aureus. Its description in RNAcentral is "partial 23S ribosomal RNA". It matches the Rfam family "Bacterial large subunit ribosomal RNA", at positions 283 to 1320 of the family's 2925-position model. Lineage: Bacteria; Bacillati; Bacillota; Bacilli; Caryophanales; Staphylococcaceae. The record is from RNAcentral.